This 253-nucleotide ribosomal RNA is filed under the name uncultured bacterium. Its description in RNAcentral is "partial 16S ribosomal RNA". It matches the Rfam family "Bacterial small subunit ribosomal RNA", at positions 524 to 776 of the family's 1533-position model. The record is from RNAcentral.
UACGUAGGGGGCAAGCGUUGUCCGGAUUUAUUGGGCGUAAAGCGCUCGCAGGUGGUCCGUCGCGUCGUGCGUGAAAGACCCCGGCUCAACUGGGGAGGGUCGUGCGAUACGGGCGGACUGGAGGCCAGUAGGGGGAUGCGGAAUUCCGGGUGUAGUGGUGGAAUGCGUAGAGAUCCGGAGGAACACCAGCGGCGAAGGCGGCAUCCUGGACUGGUCCUGACACUCAGGAGCGAAAGCGUGGGUAGCAAACAGG